Molecule: ribosomal RNA, 311 nt
Filed under: uncultured Bacillus sp.
Lineage: Bacteria; Bacillati; Bacillota; Bacilli; Caryophanales; Bacillaceae
Description: bacterial SSU rRNA
Rfam family: Bacterial small subunit ribosomal RNA
Source: RNAcentral
AGUCGAGCGAAUGGAUUAAGAGCUUGCUCUUAUGAAGUUAGCGGCGGACGGGUGAGUAACACGUGGGUAACCUGCCCAUAAGACUGGGAUAACUCCGGGAAACCGGGGCUAAUACCGGAUAACAUUUUGAACCGCAUGGUUCGAAAUUGAAAGGCGGCUUCGGCUGUCACUUAUGGAUGGACCCGCGUCGCAUUAGCUAGUUGGUGAGGUAACGGCUCACCAAGGCAACGAUGCGUAGCCGACCUGAGAGGGUGAUCGGCCACACUGGGACUGAGACACGGCCCAGACUCCUACGGGAGGCAGCAGAAGGG